CAAGUCGAACGAACUCUGGUAUUGAUUGGUGCUUGCAUCAUGAUUUACAUUUGAGUGAGUGGCGAACUGGUGAGUAACACGUGGGAAACCUGCCCAGAAGCGGGGGAUAACACCUGGAAACAGAUGCUAAUACCGCAUAACAACUUGGACCGCAUGGUCCGAGUUUGAAAGAUGGCUUCGGCUAUCACUUUUGGAUGGUCCCGCGGCGUAUUAGCUAGAUGGUGGGGUAACGGCUCACCAUGGCAAUGAUACGUAGCCGACCUGAGAGGGUAAUCGGCCACAUUGGGACUGAGACACGGCCCAAACUCCUACGGGAGGCAGCAGUAGGGAAUCUUCCACAAUGGACGAAAGUCUGAUGGAGCAACGCCGCGUGAGUGAAGAAGGGUUUCGGCUCGUAAAACUCUGUUGUUAAAGAAGAACAUAUCUGAGAGUAACUGUUCAGGUAUUGACGGUAUUUAACCAGAAAGCCACGGCUAACUACGUGCCAGCAGCCGCGGUAAUACGUAGGUGGCAAGCGUUGUCCGGAUUUAUUGGGCGUAAAGCGAGCGCAGGCGGUUUUUUAAGUCUGAUGUGAAAGCCUUCGGCUCAACCGAAGAAGUGCAUCGGAAACUGGGAAACUUGAGUGCAGAAGAGGACAGUGGAACUCCAUGUGUAGCGGUGAAAUGCGUAGAUAUAUGGAAGAACACCAGUGGCGAAGGCGGCUGUCUGGUCUGUAACUGACGCUGAGGCUCGAAAGUAUGGGUAGCAAACAGGAUUAGAUACCCUGGUAGUCCAUACCGUAAACGAUGAAUGCUAAGUGUUGGAGGGUUUCCGCCCUUCAGUGCUGCAGCUAACGCAUUAUGCAUUCCGCCUGGGGGAGUACGGCCGCAGGCUGAAAACUCAUAGGAAUUGACGGGGGGCCCGCCACAAGCGGUGGAGCAUGUGGUUUUAAUUUCGAAGCUACGCGAGACCUUACCAGGUCGUGACAUACUAUGCAAAUCUAGAGAUUAGACGUUUCCCUCCUGGGACAUGGAUACAGUGGUGCAUGGUUGUCGUCAGCUCCUGUCGUGGAAGAUGUGGGUAAGUUC
RNAcentral lists this ribosomal RNA (1067 nucleotides) under Lactiplantibacillus plantarum. RNAcentral's name for it is "bacterial SSU rRNA". It matches the Rfam family "Bacterial small subunit ribosomal RNA", at positions 58 to 1087 of the family's 1533-position model. The record is from RNAcentral. Lineage: Bacteria; Bacillati; Bacillota; Bacilli; Lactobacillales; Lactobacillaceae.